RNAcentral lists this long non-coding RNA (3086 nucleotides) under Nicotiana tabacum (common tobacco). RNAcentral's name for it is "long non-coding RNA (NTAB_LNC016933)". The record is from RNAcentral. Lineage: Eukaryota; Viridiplantae; Streptophyta; Magnoliopsida; Solanales; Solanaceae.
AUAAGUGAAUAUUGUCCAAGGUAAAGAAAAGGAAGAAACUGGACUCUUGACUGUUGGGCUGGUGAGCCUAACCAGGCCCAGCAUAAUUCGGCAGACUCCAUCAUGCGCAUAAGGAGCAGGCUGGAUUUGAAUUUGUGCCUGAGUUCCCAACGGAACUUAGGAGGCCCAAUGCAAAACAUGCACACAAAAAAUAAUAAAAAAGAUAAUUAGUGUAUAUCAAUCAUAAAACUAAUUAAAAUAAAGAUUAAGAAAAAUAAUAAUGAAGAACUAAAGAAUAUGGUGAGACGACUUUUAUUUAUGUUAACCCUAAGGGGACUAAUGAAAGACAGUGACUAAAGGCUUGGUAUGAAUCCUCAUUUAUGGAUAUGAUCCCCUUUGUGAGCCCUUGACACUUCAGAGUUCACGAGGGUAUCACAGACCCCGAGCAGUACUUGUGUCAAGGAGAGAGAUCAUAAACACAAUAAGUUUUCACAUCCAAAUACCCUUAACCACCCACUAUUAAUCUUCCUCAAAAGUUUAAACAGAAAUAAAGGAUCAACACAGUAAUUUCAUAUGGCCAAGACAUCAACAGUAGGUGUAAGAGUCGUGAUAAACCCUUUAAGGAUUCAAGCACACAAAGACUCCACAACUGUGAACAAAUAGGAUACUGUAAUUCAUUAUCAAAGCACAGAAGAAGUCAAGGGCAUAUUAUUGGCUUAAGAGGAUUCAUAUUAGAGUAUAAGAUAUACAGGCAUGCAUGGGAUCACUGUGGAUACUUAGUUAAACAAGAAAACAAAGUACAUACCAUAGACACAUUUCAUUGCUUAUAGAUUCUUGAUCAGAAGUGUUAUCAGCCAAGUAUUACAUAGAGGUGAACAGAAGUGUAUAUUUUACUAUCUUCAUUAUAGGUUGAAUGUUCCAGAAUUCUCCUAGGCAGAUUCAAGAUUAUAAGAACAAGCCACAAAUAUUUCUAAGGCUUCAGCAUAGCUAAGAGCAGGUAUACAUCUCACUAAGACCUCACCACCUUAACAGUUAGGCUAUAAAGUCACAAUAUACUAACACUUUGAUAUGCAAACAGGUUCACUAACAACAUUUUGUACAUGAGUCUGUGUGUGUGUAGGUUAUUACAACAUCAUGGAUUAGUUUAACAGUUAAAAUUAUUUAAACAAGGACAGAUAAUUAGGGUCAGUUUCUUAAUAGGAUCAGUCACUAAACUCAAAUUAUUUCAUUACCACAGAAAGAUUAGGACUACUAUAGGUGAACACAUAGAUGCAAGGAUAAACCUCUUCAAGCUACUGUCAUAAAAUGCUCUAUGGGCACAACAAUACUAAUACAACAGGUGUGAACUCAGGUGUAGAAACUAAGAAGAGUCAUGACAACAAAGAGUUUCAUGCAGCAGGGCUCAAACAAUUAGUAAAUGGCAUUCAUUCCAGAGGUUAAUCACAUUCAGAUAUGAGAACAUGCCUUCUAACAUACUGAUAGAGUUUAUUGUAUGAUCUCUUUUGUUUCCAACUAUCAUAAGAAGCACACAAAAAUUAUUCUGUUAAAAUAGUAUGAACAUGGCACUGGCUAGAGUCCAGAUAAAAAUCAUCAAUGACGCAAUCAUGUUCCUAGAACUAAGGCAAAAAUAACACAACAUCUCAAACAUCAAGAUGGCUUGGUGUUAACAAGUUAACAGUGUACUCAAGAGGAGCUUAAGCGUCUGAUUUCACAGGGAAAUAGUUACUUGACUGACAUAUUACAUACAAUAUUGUUGAUAUAAGAUUUAAUUAAUCAUGAAGCUUCAAUAGAGUCUAAGAGUAACAACAAUAUACAGAUUACUAGAUAUGCAAAACAAGCAGGUUAUCACAUUUACCAACUGAGAUUGUUAGAGUAGAUAAGUUGAAUACAAGACAUGAAAUAUAGGGAAUCCACUUAUAAGACCAACAUUAUGUCACAAGUAGGCGGGUCAAAUCAUCUAGAGGUACAAAAACACAAAGAGAAGUUUAAGAGCAUGAUUUAAGUUAGCUUAGCUGUCCUAGUUUUAUUGUUCAACUAACAGAGGUAGAUUGUGCACAAAAUCAACAUAAAGCUUAACUUAGCUUUAUCAUAUAUGCAUAGCAAAGUUAAUCACAAGAAUAUCACUUAGUCUAGGGUCUUUUUACUAAUUGAAUCAUGAAGGAUAGAAGUCAAUAGCACAUAUUUAAUGACAGGUUUUAAUACAACAUAACUUAAUAAAAACACUCAUAAUUUAACAGUAAAAUAGCAUUUUAAAGAAGGGUAUAACAAAUACGACCUUACACUACUAACAUCUAACAUGAACAACAAAGAAUUUAUUAAGUAAUCAUCAAGAAGACAUAAUUAUCAAAUGGAUUCAAAGUAAGGAGGGGGUCAGUAGGUACUGACCUUCUAUAGGGCAGAAAACCAAGUAAGGACGUGUUCAACAUCCAUUUCAGAGAUCCAAACUCAAGAUCAAUAUAGCAGUUGACUCAAACCGGAGAAGAGAAAGAAAACACAAAAAUUGGAGAGCACUUAGUGAGAAAACCUUAAAGUUUAACUCAUUUUUUUCUUUUAUGUUUCGGAUAGUAUUUGAUGCGUGGUAGGUGUGAAAAUAGAAUGUCCCUUUUAUAGUGGCACUCAAGACACUUAGGGUUCCGAUUGAUUCAAAUGGGUAGUGGAGAGUGACGACAGUCGAAUGAUGAUAACAAUAAAGGUGAAAUCUGUGAAGAACAGAGGGGAAAAAGCAACACAGAUUUACCUGGGCACGAGGAGAUGACCGUUGAAUGCGAAGACCUAUCAGACAAAGCCCCAAUAUCCAAAGGUUACUAUGUUUGACCUAUGGAUACGAAUAAUGAUGAUGGAAUCAGUGACAAUAGCCAUGCAUGCCUUGGAUUUGAAAGAACGAAGGGAGAACAGAUAAUUCUCAGUAGCAUGAUUUAGGUCUAGAGUUUAAUUGAGGCUUUUGAAUUUUAGUGAUGAAAACAGAAGUAUACCGGCUGGAUUCGCGGAUUAUAGUGACAAAUUGGGUGAUUUGAGGUUUGAAUCCGUGACCUUGCACAAAUUUGUGCAAGGUUUGUGAUUGGGGGUCAGAUGGGAUGAGAGAAAGGAGAGGGAAUUGGGAAAGAAGG